Molecule: long non-coding RNA, 2096 nt
Filed under: Mytilus galloprovincialis (Mediterranean mussel)
Lineage: Eukaryota; Metazoa; Mollusca; Bivalvia; Mytilida; Mytilidae
Source: RNAcentral
GAAAUAUUUAAACUUGCAAUACCAAGUCGUCUAGAAAUAUCUAAACUUACAAUAUAAAGACGUAUAGAAGUAUCUUAAGAAAUGGCUUCAGUUAUAUAUCCAGUAGAGAAGAACAUUCGGAAUCAGGUUGAUAACUUUAUUACGGUCUAAAACCAUGAUAAUUGCUACAUUUUGCAGUCGUAAAACCAUCAAAUUCCCUGGGACGAAACAUACCGUCUUGGAGAAAAACUCGUUUGCUGAUGGUAUACAGAACAUUCGAUUAUCAUCAAAGGGAAAUAUAUCCAUUGUUUAUCCGUAAACUCAUCAAAGGGAAAUAUAUCCAUUGUUUUAUCCGUAAACUUGUGUCAUUGGUUUGAAAAAAUACCUACAAAUCUUGGAAGUGCGUCAGAUCUUUAUCAUUAUUCAACGCUUACACUGAUUUCGUGUUGGUGGAGAUGAACUUUUUUCGCUAGGAAUCAGGUGUUGAACAAGAACUUUCGUUUCUUUUAUUUUAAGAAAAACAUAAUGUAAUUAUAAAUAGAUUUUAUUUCGGUUAAUCAUGACUAAUUCAAUAUUAAUAUCACCUUACAAUUUAUUUUUCAGGGUUAAAUUUCAGAAACCAAAAGUAAAGAUAUAUUAAAAUUAUAUUGGGAAAAUAGAUUUAAAGAUUAAAAAUGAAUCCCACUGUACUUACUUUGGGACAUAGUUAUAUUCGAAGAUUAUCUAAUUAUUGUAAAAUGAAUAGGAUGUCAACCAACUUUGGUAUUACUUAUAUUAAUGGUAUUAUGUAUGGUAAAGGUGGUACAAAAUUGUGCAAUAUGAUACAAGAUCAUGUCUUUCAAAGAUUGAUCACUAAUUUUUCUCCUACAAUAGUAGUAUUACAAAUUGGAGGUAAUGACAUAGAUAACCAUAAUUUCAAGGUUAAUACUUUUAUAGAGACUUUUAAAAAGUUUUUGAGACAUUUGAAGUCUAAAAAUGUAAAGAAGGUGGUUAUAGUUCAAUUGUUUCAUAGGUUGAAAACUAGAGUUUCAAGGUCUGUAUAUGCAGGCAGAAGAGCCCAGAUUAAUCUGGAACUUGUAAAUUUGACAAAAAGGGAGUUUAAAGGUUUUCUAGUGUAUUGGACACCAAAGAGGUUGACAUCAAAAUUUCUAUUGACAACAGAUGGUGUCCAUUUGAAUAAAACCAAAAUGAGGACUUAUUAUUAUUCCUUAAAGAGGGCUGUUAAGCUUUCUCUUAGAAAAUAAAAAUCAAUAAUGCCAUUUGUUGUCACUUAUUAUAGAUAUAUACAUUUUAAUGUGGAGUGGUUGGUGGUGGCUGAGAUAUAUUUUUUCGUAAUAAUGUGGAGUAAAUAUAUUUUUCAGCUUGUAUAAUUAUUUGUAUAUUUCAGGAGGGGAGAUGUUUUAAUCUUAAUUGAAAAUUUUGAUUUCUUGCACCCGAGACCACCAGCUUUGCAUAGCAGCGCGCGUUAACUAGCACAUGGAUUUUGCCAGAUAUGCGGACAUAUCUGUUCUGUGGGAAAGGGGGUAAUGUAACGUUUGUGGGUCACUUUAUUUGGUUCAUUUAAUUUAUUUCAUUAUUACUAUUUUUUUAAUUAUUUUUCCAGAAAGAUUGCUUUUUAUUAUUUUAUUACUUUCCGAUUUUUAUUUCAUUCAUUAAAUUUUAGUGACGUAACGAACCUCGCAUUAGCAUUAAAAAUGUUUUCCCUUCUCAACCAAUCAGAGAGCUCGAUUGAAUUCCCGGGGAAAAUUUAGCUCGUGCAGAUAUUGUCUGCUAGAAAUCAUUCUCAGCCCAGACUUCCAGGUGUAUAGAUGUAAGGUAAAAAGGGGAAUUUUCAACCAUGUGCGCGAUAUUUUUGGAAGUGGUCUCGGUAGGAAUCACGCGCUAUUUUAUAUACUAUAAUUAGUGUAUUGAAGAAAAUGUGUUUUACAGUAUUUUUAGGUAAGAAGUUCCCCCUCCUAUGAUUUUCAUGUACAUAUUUUGAGUGACUAAAACUGGCUGGUUUUUGAUCACGGUUUGCAUUGGAGAUUUAGCGGAAAACUUUGAAUAUUUACGUGUUGAGGCGUGAAUUAUUUAGAAAGCGGUUCGCUGGUUAAAUUAUGAGUUGAGUUUUUGAAAAG